GAGGGUAUAACUCAGUGGUAGAGUGCAUGCUUAGCAUGCACGAGGUCCCUGGGUUCAAUCCCCAGUACCGCCA
Molecule: transfer RNA, 73 nt
Filed under: Camelus ferus (Wild Bactrian camel)
Lineage: Eukaryota; Metazoa; Chordata; Mammalia; Artiodactyla; Camelidae
Rfam family: tRNA
About the family: Transfer RNA (tRNA) molecules are approximately 80 nucleotides in length.
Source: Rfam by way of RNAcentral